This 400-nucleotide long non-coding RNA is filed under the name Musa acuminata (dwarf banana). Its description in RNAcentral is "long non-coding RNA (MACU_LNC006450)". Lineage: Eukaryota; Viridiplantae; Streptophyta; Magnoliopsida; Zingiberales; Musaceae. The record is from RNAcentral.
AACAAAUUCUGAAUCUACAUUUUCAGCAAUUAAACAUAAUAGUCAGAUCUAACCCAAAGACAUGUUUCCUAUCACUUAGUCAUGACUUGAGCUUCAUAGUGCAUACAGAUCCAUGAAAAUAACAACAUAAGCAUCCAUCCAUCAUUCAUUUCUGAUUAUUACAUGUAGUUGUUCAAUGCAUUAUCGAAAAAACAUCAAAUUGGUCAUAAUGCAGCCAAUGUUACAACAUGGUAUAAGUUUAUCUUUUGGUAAAUAAGCUUCUCAUCUCUUAGCCACAUGUGAAAGCCGGAGAUCAUCUCGCUAAACCAUUGUUGAGCACCUAUGCCAUCCCAACCUAACUGUUCCACCAACUACAUGUUGAAAUGUAGGUCUUCGACAUCAGAAGUCUGUCUUCAAAGCC